Lolium rigidum is the source of this 1243-nucleotide long non-coding RNA. RefSeq lists it as uncharacterized. The transcript has 2 exons. NCBI's taxonomy places the organism in Eukaryota, Viridiplantae, Streptophyta, Magnoliopsida, Poales, Poaceae. The record is from RefSeq and is a predicted model, not a curated record.
CGGUCGAAGCGGCCGUGAGAAAUCGAACAUCUCCACCGCUGGAUUAUUUUCUGAUCCCCUCUAGCUUAUUCUCUCUCAUCUUCUCCCCCAAUCCUCAUUGUUGACGCCCUCCUCUUCCUCCUGGCCACUGCGCCGCCGGCACGCCCCUCCUCUUCCUCUCAAAUUGGCUGGCGAUGGGGAGGACCUCUCCCUCCUAAGCCGGCUGGAGGCACGGAGGAGCAGCUGCAUGCGGCCCUCUCCCUCCCGAGGUGGCUGGGGGCGCGGAAGAGGAGCAGCAGGCGGCCCUCUCCCUUCGGAGGCCUAUGGCGACGCGGAGGAGGAGUUGGGCCCCUUCCUCUCCCUCCCUCCCGAGGUGGAUGGCGGCAUGGAGGAGGAUCAGAACCUCCUCCUCUCCCUCCCUCUCGAGGCGGAUGGCGGCGCGGAGGAGGAGUUGGACCCCCUUCUCUCCCUCCCGCCCAAGGCGGCUCGCUCGCCGACGAGCUAGAGAAGAAUGGGCAGCUCGGCCCGCCCUGCGAUGGGUGGCUCGCUCCCAAGUCGUCGUCCGUGAGAUGGAGGUGCCUCCACAUUUUCUUCACCGGGUUCGUUGCCUACGGAUGCACGGCGGCGCCAGUUUUGGCCCCGCGGCCGGCACGCCGUGUCGCCGCCUAUUGGACCACGAAGCCAUGCCAGACAGCAAGGUGGUUCGCCCUGGUUUAUCUGUGCUGUCCUAUCUCCGCCGGCGUGCUACUUCACUCGAUGGCGGCGCUGCAUGGACCUUAUUCUUCGUUCCAUAGCGUCAUAAUUGCUUCUGGCAGUCUGCAGUCAUAUGAGUGUGCGUGGUGGUGGUCGCCGGCGGGGCCGGCCUCCUUCUGUGUCACCUCCUCCACCGUCACGAUUCACAAGAUGUUGAUGUUGCUGUGUCUCACGUUCAUGAUGUCCAGCCCUUCCAGAAGUGCCUGUUCACCAUGAUAAGGCCUCCAGGUUGUGGGCGGGGCUGUGGUCGUUUUGUUCAGUUUGUAGCUCCUCAUGUUCCGCCUGCGAUUGAGGUGCCUUUGCAUACAUAGGUCUCCUCGCCAUCGGAGGCCGCCGCGCCACAUUUUCUGUCAUGUACUAUGGUGAGUUGCUCCAACUCCAGCCCUUACAGGUUGUCAAUAGUUGCUUUGAGCGGGGAAAAUAGGGGCCAAAGAUGGGAAUUUAAUUUUGACCUUGUGCUUGGAGGAAGUAUAUAUUCAGAUUUAGGUGAAUGCCAGAGCCUUUAGAUUUU